Molecule: long non-coding RNA, 3999 nt
Filed under: Citrus x clementina
Lineage: Eukaryota; Viridiplantae; Streptophyta; Magnoliopsida; Sapindales; Rutaceae
Description: Citrus clementina (C. clementina) long non-coding RNA (CCLE_LNC006136)
Source: RNAcentral
UUAAAUGUCAUUUAUAAUUCUUAUUUUAAUAUGUGUAUUUGUGAUUAAGUUUUAUAACAUGAAUUUUUCAGUUCGAGUAGCAGGGAAGUCGCCUUUGUUGGGAGAACCUGUGCCUCUCGGUUCGAGCGGAGACUUCUAGUCUGGGUUGUGGUACAAGCUUAAAGGUGCCUCCCACAGUUGGGGCCCUCCCCAGGAUACCUCAUGGUCAAAACCAAAAAAAAAAAAUGAAUUUUUCAGGUUAUACCGAUUGGUCGGAGGGUGUAGGUCCCCCAUUUUUUUCACUUAUUGCUGAUGAUGAAAUUAAUGGAAAUAUUGAUCUUCUUGUGGUCCCGCAAUAUGGAAGAAAUCUUUAUCACACUGGUUAAGAAUAUGCAGUAUUAGUCUCUUAUGUUAUGUUUAAGAAAAUAAAAGUAUGGGUAUUGUUAUUACCCGUCAAUUGUAUGAUGGUCUCAGUUUGGUUCAGUUUAAUUUGUAAGAUCUCUUGAUAUAUACAAGAGAUUCUCUUUGUCUAGCUAUUUAUGUGUACCAUGUUAUUCUAAAAGAAAAAUAAAUAAAAAAAUUUAAUAAUAAUGAUGAUGAUGAAAUUAAUGACAAUAAUAAUAAUUAAAAUAAUAAAAUAAAUAAAUUUUAAAUAUAAUAAUGAUAAUAAUAUAAUAUUAUUAUUACAUUAUUAUAAACAAUAAAGGACCUAUUUGCAAAUAAUUCAAGAAAUUUGAGUUUGUUUGAUAAAUUCCAUGGGAACCAAAAAGAAAAAAAUGACAUAACUUACUUGAGAGUAAUUUAGAGAUUAUAAAAGUUUAAUGGGAGUAAAAUGGGUAGUUAUAGAAAUCGAAUUCAGAUUCCAAACCCCUCGCUUUGGAAUCAGAGCUAUGGUAGUGAUUCUCAAAUUUGUGGGUCCGACACUACUUCAGUUCCAAUCCCAAACCUUAAUUUUGCAAGUAAACAUGUCAUUGAUUUUGAUUCUAAAUUUUCCAUUUCGAUUGUUGUACCAUUAGUUGAAAUAUAAUGAGAAGAGCAAGUGAGAAACAAUAGAGAUAAAAUAUUUUUAAUGGGAGUAAUUUGAGAAAUAAAUCGAAUUAAUCAAAAUAGAGUAUGGUGAAAUAAAGAGUGAUAUCAAAAAAGUUUGAGGAGGGGGCACAAAAAUGAUAGAAUGGGGCUGCGCCGUUUCUGUGGCUGUGCUAUGGUCAUUCUUAUUACUAAUAUCCGCUACGCGUUAAGCGGGCUAGCUUGAGGAUAUGUUUUCUCAUAUUAAAUUUGGAUGCAGCGAUUCCGCCAGCUUAUAUCACAGAUUCACAAAAGUCCUCAGCAAAGAAUAGAAAUAGAUAUUGUGAAAAAAACGCAGCAGGGUUAAUACAAGCGCACUGGAUAUUGUUUUGUUAAGUCAAAUAGUAAGCAAAUGCUAUUUCUUAAAAUAAUACCAGUCAAGAUACAGUAGUUGAUACCAUAUUAUUUCUCAUUUGGACCAAAAAAAUUGUGGGACGAGAAAUCCGCUUGUCAUUUAUCAAACAGCGACAAACCAAUGCAUUUUCGGAUGGGUAUUAAUGCUCAUCCUAUAGGAGAGAAACUAGGUGAUUGAAGACCACGCGGAGAAAAAGAAGAAGAAAAAGAUGAUGCAAGUUAAUAAGAUGAAGACUUUUGAGUAAAAAGAAACAAGUAUUAAUCAAUUCAUGAACAAAGAGCUAACAUUGUAACAAGAUCACGAAAGUAAAUUAAAAUUAGUUCCACAUAACACAUAAUUCUCAUGGAAAAAUAUAAGUCUGGCGGUCUUUUUAGCAUCAACUCUCUCUCACUUCUAUUUGAAACUAGGAAAAGGUGUUCCAAGAACAAAUGUUUUUCAUUCGUCCAAUACCCAACAAAAUUUGAGAUUUUGUUAGAAAAGACAAAAUAGUUUAUUUAAGUUUCAAAAGCUCUAUUAAAUAAACAACCAAACAAUAACGAAAAUUAAAAUAAGAGCUGAUGAAAUUAAAUAAAUACUUGACUUGUGAUCAUUAAAUAAAUCGUACCAAACAAGCACAUAAUCUCAAGGAAACCCCUCCCUAAAUUCACGAAAGUUAGUGAAUCCUCCUCGAUGAUCUGCUGUUUCUUCACUCUCCAUUUACCAACCUUGAAAAAGCGAAAACGACAAACAAAAAUGAAAACGAUCUCCAAUUACAUUCAUAUCCCUUGCAUUUUAUACCCAGCACAGCAAUGUUCACAUCCCCAGCAGUAUUAUCCAGCGCAGCAAUGGUCACAUCCUUUGCAAAGAUCACCAUGGCAGCAAUUUAUACGUCCUUCACGGGAAAUUUUAACAAUGAAGCAAUGAUAAAAUCCAGUGCCGCCAAGUCAGAGAUUGCACGGACAAUCACUGGAGAUCUAACUUUCUUAAUUUCCGUUUACGAAUUAAUUUGGUAAUAUAUUAGUAUUUUAGCUGAGGGAGAAAAAAAUAGAAUAUGCUAUGCAGCCUAUUUUAUUAAUGAGAAAAAAAAAAUUGAUUGAUAAAAGAGAUUUGAUGUGUAUUUACACAUAAAAGAUGUCCUUUUGAUUCUUUAUCUUUUUAUUGGGUGCAGUCAGUGACAAAUCAUGAAAUUAUCUGAACUUAGAGGAAGAAAUUUGCUUAAUGAACAACGAUUUCAUAGAAAUAUAAACAGAGUGCAUGCCCUGCUUUUUAGUUUUGGGUAUUUAAAAAGAAAAAAAAAACAAGGAAAAUUUUGGACUUGAUUAAAAAAAAAUAGAGCUUAUAAUUAAUUAAUAAGAAUAGGAUUUGGAUUCCCGACUAGUUUUCCCCCUCCUAAUUUUUCUUUAGCUUUCAAUAAUCUAAUCAUAAAAUUAAUUUCUAGAAAAAAAAAUUGAAAGCUUAAGAUUUCAUUUUAUAUUGUAACCUAAUUAUUAAUAAUUAAAUUCAUUCAAUUUGAUUUUUAAUGAGUUUAUAAAGGGACACAAUUUUAUUUCCAUACCCAACUCUUUCCUUCAACAUCGAUCCUUUCCUUUUUUUGAAUCCCCGAGUUCCAAUCAAGCAGUAAAAAGAUAAAGAGAAAUUAUUUCCUUCUUAAAAACAACGUCUUUAUAAAUUCGUCGAGCAGAAAAAAAAUUAGAAAGCUUAACUAAGACAUUAAUUUAUUUUUAUAAAAUUUAAAUAUGUUUGAAUAUAAAUCGAGAAAAUAACUUAUAUAUUUUUAAUGAUCAAAUUAAUUACAAGUAGGAAAAUGUCAUAAAUACCCUUAAUAGCUCCGAGACUUUAAUAACUUUUAUUAAAAAAUGUAAAAUUUACAAGUAGAGAAAUAGAGAAAAAUUGUAAAUUAAAUCAUAUAACUUGAUAAUUUUUUUUGAAUUUCAAUAAAGUUUAAGAUUGCGGAUCUGAUCAGUAAGGCAUCAAACCAAAAGAAGACACACACCCCGCAAUCACAAAUGACAAAACAAAUCAACUUGUGAUGAGCGUGAAAUUGUUUUUUUUUAAAAAAAAAAAAAUGGUCCUCACAGAAAUCAUAGAAAAUCACGGAUAUGUCAUUCUUAUCCAACUAGAGGCUUUGGGAGAUGCCAGCAGCUUCUCGUUGCAAGUUCUUCUAAUUAUAUCUAUGGCGCUUCAAUUAUGAUUUGUGUGUGUGUGUGUGUGUAUAUUCAAAAAAUCGAAAAACUUAAAAAGGACAGGGCUUAUCCAACUAGAGGCUUUGUAUGGUGAAUAUUGCUCUUCCGCAAACAGAUAUUUAUGGUGACAGAUAUUUAUGGUGACUUCCCUCUAAGGGUAUAGGUGAGAACGCAUGCCCUCAACAUUUAGGAUAUGAGUUCCAAGUCCCCAAGGGGUGGGUAAUGUUACUAGUAUAAGAGAAGAUUUAACCCUAAUAAUUAUGGGAGUUGAUAUUAAAUUAUAAUCCAUCUAUACAUGUAAUAAAUGCAUGUUUGAUAUAACUUAUCUAAUGCUUAAAAAUAUUUAUUUCGUUUUUAAACAGCUUUUCAAAAAUUUUGGUGUUGUUAGAUCGUAUUUUGAGUUGAGUUUUUAGAGACUAAAUAAAUUAUUUUACUUUU